UGGAGCACAUCUUGUUGUAAGGCAUUGUCGGCGCUGAUGGAGGCUGGAUCUCGGUCCAGAUCUGCUACAUGAGUUAGAGUCGAAGGAGAGCCAGUUGCUGAAGGGUUUGCUGGUAGUAGAUUCUGCCGGCGUUCGGCGAGCUGGCUGUUGGUUCAGGAGGAAAGAGCUGAGGGAGACCGCGGCUGAGG
Long non-coding RNA from Populus euphratica (Euphrates poplar), 188 nucleotides. RefSeq lists it as uncharacterized. The record is from RefSeq and is a predicted model, not a curated record. The transcript has 2 exons. NCBI's taxonomy places the organism in Eukaryota, Viridiplantae, Streptophyta, Magnoliopsida, Malpighiales, Salicaceae.